Molecule: ribosomal RNA, 1365 nt
Filed under: metagenome
Description: SSU rRNA
Rfam family: Eukaryotic small subunit ribosomal RNA
Source: RNAcentral
GAUUCCGGAGAGGGAGCCUGAGAAAUGGCUACCACUUCCAAGGAAGGCAGCAGGCGCGCAAAUUACCCAAUCCUGACUCAGGGAGGUAGUGACAGUACAUAACAAUGCAGGACCCUUUGGGUACUGCAAUUGGAAUGAGAACAAUCUAAACACCUUAUCGACUAACAAUUGGAGGGCAAGUCUGGUGCCAGCAGCCGCGGUAAUUCCAGCUCCAAUAGCGUAUAUUAAAGUUGUUGCAGUUAAAAAGCUCGUAGUUGAACCUUGGGUGAGGUGCAUCCGGUCGACCGAAAGGCCAGACUGGGUCGCCAAACCUCUUUAGGGGGACUUGAAGGUUCGCCUUCAAGGUAACCCGUGUUACUGUGAAGAAAUUAGAGUGUUUAAAGCAGGCUAUCGCUUGAAUACAUCAGCAUGGAAUAACAAGAUAAGACACAUGUCUUCUUGUUGGUUAGGAGUCGUAUGUAAUGAUUAAUAGGGCCAGUUGGGGGCAUUAGUAUUCAGUAGUCAGAGGUGAAAUUCUUGGAUUUACUGAAGACUAACUAGUGCGAAAGCAUUUGCCAAGGAUGUUUUCAUUAAUCAAGAACGAAAGUUAGGGGAUCGAAGACGAUCAGAUACCGUCGUAGUCUUAACUAUAAACGAUGCCGACUAAGGAUCGGCAGAAGUCAUUUUUGACUCUGUCGGCACUUUGUGAGAAAUCAAAGUUUUUGGGUUCUGGGGGGAGUAUGGCCGCAAGGCUGAAACUUAAAGGAAUUGACGGAAGGGCACCACCAGGAGUGGAGCCUGCGGCUUAAUUUGACCCAACACGGGAAAACUCACCAGGUCCGGACAUAGUAAGGAUUGACAGAUUGAGAGCUCUUUCUUGAUUCUGUGGGUGGUGGUGCAUGGCCGUUCUUAGUUGGUGGAGUGAUUCGUCUGGUUAAUUCCGAUAACGAACGAGACCUUAACCUGCUAACUAGUUGCGAGUACGCGAGUAUUCGACACUUCUUAGAGGGACUGACUACGUUUAGUAGUCGGAAGUUUGAGGCAAUAACAGGUCUGUGAUGCCCUUAGAUGUUCUGGGCUGCACGCGCGCUACACUGACAAAGUCAGCGAGUAUUACCUUGGCCGAGAGGUCUGGGAAAUCUUGUGAAACUUUGUCGUGCUGGGGAUAGAUCAUUGCAAUUAUUGGUCUUGAACGAGGAAUUCCUAGUAAGCGCAUGUCAUCAGCAUGCGUUGAUUACGUCCCUGCCCUUUGUACACACCGCCCGUCGCUACUACCGAUUGAAUGGCUUAGUGAGGCCUUUGGAUCUGCCAUUAGGCGCAAGCUUGAUGGUGUGAGAAAUUGGACAAACUUGGUCAUUUAGAGGAAGUAAAAGUCGUAACAAGGUU